AAAUUAUCAUCGAUCGCUUAUCUCGUAGCCCGCGAAUGCCACUUUCCGUUUGGCAGGGUCAAAAAAUUGAACCUACGCUAAAAGGUAUAGCAACAAUUUGCAUUGCAUUUCCGUUUCUUUUGCGGCAUUGCUCUAUAAAUACGGCAAGUCCGACGACUACAAUUCGUUCUUAUCAAUUAACCGAGCAAACAAACAGACGCCAAGAAAAAUGAUCAUCAGUGCAAGCGAACAAGGGGAAUAGGGAAGAGAAACACGCGCCGAGAGAGAAACACGACACUUAAUUAACGCCAAUUAUAAUGGUUAAUAAGAGUAUGUAGAAAUCGAGGAACGCGGCCGACUUGUGGGUUUCUUUU
Molecule: non-coding RNA, 353 nt
Organism: Drosophila melanogaster (fruit fly)
Lineage: Eukaryota; Metazoa; Arthropoda; Insecta; Diptera; Drosophilidae
Source: Ensembl